AUUCCCUCAUCAUAACACCAUCAUCACCAUUCACCAACCUCUCUCUCUCUCUCCUCUAUCACUCUCUACAACAAAAAUUUGUGAAUCUGCUAAGAUCGAUUAUCAUGAGGG
RNAcentral lists this unclassified non-coding RNA (111 nucleotides) under Arabidopsis thaliana (thale cress). Its description in RNAcentral is "partial MIR165a microRNA precursor". Lineage: Eukaryota; Viridiplantae; Streptophyta; Magnoliopsida; Brassicales; Brassicaceae. The record is from RNAcentral.